GUAAAUAUAAUUUAAUCAAAAUGCUAGAUUGUGAUUCUAAACAUGGAGGUUAAACUCCUCUUAUUUACC
This 69-nucleotide transfer RNA is filed under the name Deveximentum hanedai. RNAcentral's name for it is "tRNA-His". It matches the Rfam family "tRNA". From Rfam's summary of the family: Transfer RNA (tRNA) molecules are approximately 80 nucleotides in length. Lineage: Eukaryota; Metazoa; Chordata; Actinopteri; Chaetodontiformes; Leiognathidae. The record is from RNAcentral.